This 505-nucleotide ribosomal RNA is filed under the name uncultured bacterium. Its description in RNAcentral is "partial 16S ribosomal RNA". It matches the Rfam family "Bacterial small subunit ribosomal RNA", at positions 28 to 507 of the family's 1533-position model. The record is from RNAcentral.
GACGAACGCUGGCGGCGUGCCUAAUACAUGCAAGCAGAACGCACAGUUUAUACCGUAGCUUGCUACACCAUAGACUGUGAGUUGCGAACGGGUGAGUAACGCGUAGGUAACCUGCCUGGUAGCGGGGGAUAACUAUUGGAAACGAUAGCUAAUACCGCAUAAUAUUGAUUAUUGCAUGAUAAUUGAUUGAAAGAUGCUAUUGCAUCACUACCAGAUGGACCUGCGUUGUAUUAGCUAGUAGGUGAGGUAACGGCUCACCUAGGCGACGAUACAUAGCCGACCUGAGAGGGUGAUCGGCCACACUGAGACUGAGACACGGCCCAGACUCCUACGGGAGGCAGCAGUAGGGAAUCUUCGGCAAUGGACGAAAGUCUGACCGAGCAACGCCGCGUGAGUGAAGAAGGUUUUCGGAUCGUAAAGCUCUGUUGUAAGAGAAGAACGGGUGUGAGAGUGGAAAGUUCACACUGUGACGGUAUCUGACCAGAAAGGGACGGCUAACUACGUG